Molecule: ribosomal RNA, 400 nt
Filed under: Carnobacterium sp. AZTITEMP63
Lineage: Bacteria; Bacillati; Bacillota; Bacilli; Lactobacillales; Carnobacteriaceae
Description: bacterial SSU rRNA
Rfam family: Bacterial small subunit ribosomal RNA
Source: RNAcentral
GUCUUGACNUCCUUUGACNNCUCUAGAGAUAGAGCUUUCCCUUCGGGGACAAAGUGACAGGUGGUGCAUGGUUGUCGUCAGCUCGUGUCGUGAGAUGUUGGGUUAAGUCCCGCAACGAGCGCAACCCUUAUUACUAGUUGCCAGCAUUUAGUUGGGCACUCUAGUGAGACUGCCGGUGACAAACCGGAGGAAGGUGGGGAUGACGUCAAAUCAUCAUGCCCCUUAUGACCUGGGCUACACACGUGCUACAAUGGAUGGUACAACGAGUCGCAAGGUCGCGAGGCCAAGCUAAUCUCUUAAAGCCAUUCUCAGUUCGGAUUGUAGGCUGCAACUCGCCUACAUGAAGCCGGAAUCGCUAGUAAUCGCGGAUCAGAACGCCGCGGUGAAUACGUUCCCGGGA